CAGUCGCCGCGGGAAUACAGAGGCCUCAAGCGUUGUUCGGAUUCAUUGGGCGUAAAGGGUGCGUAGGUGGCUUGGUAAGUUGAAGGUGAAAUCUCGGGGCUUAACCCCGAAACUGCCUUCAAUACUGCUAGGCUCGAGGACUGUAGAGGAGAAUGGAAUUCACGGUGUAGCAGUGAAAUGCGUAGAUAUCGUGAGGAAGACCAGUGGCGAAGGCGAUUCUCUGGGCAGUUCCUGACACUGAGGCACGAAGGCCAGGGGAGCAAACGGGAUUAGAUACCCGUGUAGUCCCUGUCUCUUAUAC
This 301-nucleotide ribosomal RNA is filed under the name uncultured bacterium. RNAcentral's name for it is "partial 16S ribosomal RNA". It matches the Rfam family "Bacterial small subunit ribosomal RNA", at positions 509 to 807 of the family's 1533-position model. The record is from RNAcentral.